This 491-nucleotide ribosomal RNA is filed under the name uncultured bacterium. RNAcentral describes it as "partial 16S ribosomal RNA". It matches the Rfam family "Bacterial small subunit ribosomal RNA", at positions 29 to 523 of the family's 1533-position model. The record is from RNAcentral.
AAUGAACGUUGGCGGCGUGGAUUAGGCAUGCAAGUCGCGCGAGAAGUCAUUUAGCUUGCUAAAAGACGGACAGCGGCGGAAGGGAGAGUAACGCGUGGUUAUGUACCCUCGAGACCGGGAUAGUGUCGGGAAACUGGCAGUAAUACCGGAUAACAUCUUCGGAUCAAAUGGUGUGAUUCCGCUCGAGGAUCGGACCGCGUACUAUUAGCUAGUUGGAGGGGUAAUGGCCCACCAAGGCUUAGAUGGUUACCGGGGGUGGGAGCAUGGCCCGGCUCACUGGGACUGAGACACUGCCCAGACAUCUACGGAUGGCUGCAGUCGAGAAUCUUCGGCAAUGGACGAAAGUCUGACCGAGCGACGCCGCGUGCGGGAUGAAGGCCUUCGGGUUGUAAACCGCUGUCAGUUAGGAGGAAAUCCAUGAGGGUUCUCUCUCAUGGUUGACCGACUUUCAGAGGAAGGACGGGCUAAGUUCGUGCCAGCCGCCGCUGUAA